UCGAGAAUCUUCGGCAAUGCACUAACGUGUGACCGAGCGACGCUGCGUGGAGGAAGAAGGCCUUCGGGUUGUAAACUCCUGUCGUGCGGGAAGAACUUUGACGGUACCACACAAGAAAGGGGCGCCUAACUCUGUGCCAGCAGGCGCGGUAAUACAGAGGCCCCGAGCGUUACCCGGAUUCAUUGGGCGUAAAGCGUCCGCAGGCGGCUAUCUGCGUCGGUCGUGAAUCCCUGGGCUUAACCCAGGAACGCCAACCGAUACGAGAUAGCUUGAGGCAGGGAGAGGUCAGUGGAACUCAUGGUGAAGCAGUGAAUGCGUUGAUAUCAUGGGGAACACCAAUUGCGAAGGCAGCUGACUGGUCCUGUCCUGACGCUCAGGGACGACAGCGUGGGGAGCGAAUGGGAUUAGAUACCCCAGUAGUCCACGCCGUAAACGUUGCCGACUAAGCAUUGGAAGUAUCGACCCUUUCAGUGUCGAAGCUAACGCG
This 487-nucleotide ribosomal RNA is filed under the name uncultured bacterium. RNAcentral's name for it is "bacterial SSU rRNA". It matches the Rfam family "Bacterial small subunit ribosomal RNA", at positions 355 to 859 of the family's 1533-position model. The record is from RNAcentral.